This 487-nucleotide ribosomal RNA is filed under the name uncultured bacterium. RNAcentral describes it as "partial 16S ribosomal RNA". It matches the Rfam family "Bacterial small subunit ribosomal RNA", at positions 355 to 832 of the family's 1533-position model. The record is from RNAcentral.
UGGGGAAUUUUGGACAAUGGGCGCAAGCCUGAUCCAGCAAUGCCGCGUGCAGGAUGAAGGCCUUCGGGUUGUAAACUGCUUUUGUACGGAACGAAAAGGCUCUGGCUAAUACCUGGGGCACAUGACGGUACCGUAAGAAUAAGCACCGGCUAACUACGUGCCAGCAGCCGCGGUAAUACGUAGGGUGCGAGCGUUAAUCGGAAUUACUGGGCGUAAAGCGUGCGCAGGCGGUUUUGUAAGACAGAGGUGAAAUCCCCGGGCUCAACCUGGGAACUGCCUUUGUGACUGCAAGGCUGGAGUGCGGCAGAGGGGGAUGGAAUUCCGCGUGUAGCAGUGAAAUGCGUAGAUAUGCGGAGGAACACCGAUGGCGAAGGCAAUCCCCUGGGCCUGCAACUGACGCUCAUGCACGAAAGCGUGGGGAGCAAACAGGAUUAGGAUACCCUGGUAGUCCACGCCCUAAACGAUGUCAACUGGCUUGUUGGGUCUU